GGGUUGCUAUCUUCUGGACAACAAGUAGUACCAGAGCAGGUGCUUUAAUAUUUAAUUGUUGACCUAGUGGUCAAAGAGUAAAAGAUCACGAUAAUCUCGAUUAGUUCAUCAUUUGUUGAGGGCAAUCCACAUCUAGACCAUCUAUACUUAAUGGUUUAAAUUAUAUCUAUUGAAAAACUAGAAUAAAAAUUUUUAUACAAGCAUA
This 205-nucleotide long non-coding RNA is filed under the name Elaeis guineensis (African oil palm). RNAcentral describes it as "long non-coding RNA (EGUI_LNC014998)". The record is from RNAcentral. Lineage: Eukaryota; Viridiplantae; Streptophyta; Magnoliopsida; Arecales; Arecaceae.